Small nuclear RNA from Manis pentadactyla (Chinese pangolin), 164 nucleotides. RefSeq annotates it as U1 spliceosomal RNA. The transcript has a single exon. The record is from RefSeq and is a predicted model, not a curated record. NCBI's taxonomy places the organism in Eukaryota, Metazoa, Chordata, Mammalia, Pholidota, Manidae.
UUUGCAACCUGGCAGGAGAGAUACCAUGAUCAGGAAGGUGGUUUUCCUAGGGUGAGGCUCAUUCAUUGCACUCUGAGUGUGCUGACCCUUGAGAUUUCCCCAAAUGCGGGAAACCUGACUGUAUAACUUGUGGUACUGGGGGACUGAGUUGGCACUUUCCCCUU